Molecule: ribosomal RNA, 844 nt
Filed under: Gammarus nekkensis
Lineage: Eukaryota; Metazoa; Arthropoda; Malacostraca; Amphipoda; Gammaridae
Description: partial large subunit ribosomal RNA
Source: RNAcentral
CUUACAAUGAAGAAGACCUUUUGGCACCCUUGUAAAGGGAUUGAGUAUAUAAAGAGUAAUAAAGUAUGUUAGGUGUACCUUUUGUGUCAGGGGAGUUUAAAAGUUUAGUCAGAAGGUGCUCGAGUUAACUAGAUCUUGGUUUUAGGCGGUAGUUUAAUUUAAGGCUUAUAAAAAUUAAGGGGUGAAAAGUUAUCGUUAGUUUUGGUAUCUAAGUGCUUUAGAUCUGGAGAGGUUAAGCUUUCCGUAGUUUACGGGCGACCUAUAUCAGGAGAACUAGGCUUUAAAUUAGCUGAGUUAAGAUAUUGUUUUUAAGAAUUUUUUAGGUGUUAUAAUGUGUAAAUUUAUUCGGCGAUGAAGUGUAGCUACGGGCUGGGUAAAUAAUGAAAUCAUUGAAUAGGUGGCGUAAUAUUAAAAUAACUCGUGGUUGCUCAGAUAGUUUAGCAAAAACAUUUUUGUCUGUUAAUGAGAGAGUAAGGCCUGCCCGGUGAUAGUAAACGGCUGCGGUAGUUUGACCGUGCGAAGGUAGCAUAAUCAAUUGCUUCUUAAUUGGUAGCUGGAAUGAAAGGUUAAACUGGGUAGCUUGGUUUGUAGGUUGUUUAAGAGAUUUAAGUGAGGGUAAGAAUUCUCUCGUACUCUAGGGGACGAUAAGACCCUAGAAGCUUAAUCUAAAGGUAUUUGGUUGUAAUAAAGUGUAUUUGGUUUUACUGGGGCGGUAGCGGUAAAUGAACUAUUGCUUUUUGGGGGAUCCCCUUUAUAGGGAGAAAGCGGAUUAGUUACUCUAGGGAUAACAGUACAAUAGUUUUGGAGAGAUCUUAUCGAUAAAUAAGCUUGUAACCUCGAUGUU